This is a long non-coding RNA of Lycium barbarum (goji berry), 1028 nucleotides long. RefSeq lists it as uncharacterized. NCBI's taxonomy places the organism in Eukaryota, Viridiplantae, Streptophyta, Magnoliopsida, Solanales, Solanaceae. The record is from RefSeq and is a predicted model, not a curated record. The transcript is spliced from 6 exons.
CUUCUCUUCGGCGACGUCACCAUUAUUGCUGCCAGUCACCACCGGCGCCGUCCCUACCCAGCUGAAAAAAUCUUGUUUCAGAUAUAACAUUGAAAAAAGAGUUUGCCUAAUUGACUACUUCUUCCAAAUCUGUCCCCCAUUUUCUACGCUCUCACACUUUCUUCACUUCAUUUUACCCAUAUCUCACGCCCUUCUCUUCUUCCAACGGUCUCCACCUUCAUUUUCCAUCUUCUAGUUGUUUGUGCUUGAUUUAGGAGAUCAUUGUUCUGCCUCUAUUGACAACUUUGACGAUCAGUAGACAACAUCCUUAAUCUUUCUGAUACCUCAACGAAGACAUUCUUUGAGCCAUUUCGACAUUUUAAAGAUCUGAGAGGGGUAAUGCACUUGACAAUCUUGACGGUGUAGUGAUAUGACUAUUCUGGCUAUGGAAUUAGCCAGGAAAAUUUGAUUCUUUAUGGGCAAUCUGUUGGAAGUGGCCCAACAUUACACUUAGCAGCUAAAUUACCACGGUUGAGAGGUGUGGUUCUGCACAGUGUCAUUCUUUCUGGUCUUUGUGUGCUUUGCCAUGCAAACUUCUCUUUUUUCUUUGAUAUUUACAAGAAUUUAAACAAGAUUCAGAAGGUGAAAAGUCUUGUGCUCGUUAUACAUUUGGUUACCAGACAAUUUGCUUCGAGGGGGAUUCCGUCGUAUCCUGAUGAUGCUCGUAACCCCAUACUCAAUCUAGUGGUGCGGAUGAUGAUGGGACUCACGUGUCAAACACACAAAUGCAUGUUUGAAUGUUAAUGUUGUGGUGGAUUUGUGAAUUGUGUAAGUGUUUUGUGGAUGUUUGCGAGGGGUGAAGUAGUCUAAUGUUGUAGACUUAACUUAAUGUAGACUUGUUUAAUGUUUUGUGGAUGUUUGCAAAGGUUGAAGUAGUUUAAUGUCUCUUGUGAAUGUUUGAAUGACGUUUUGAUUUAACUUUGAAGUAGUUUCGAAUUGAAUUUGAUGUAUUGGUGAUUGUAAUAAAUGUGUUUGUUGAAGUAGCUUAA